This is a long non-coding RNA of Chenopodium quinoa (quinoa), 1774 nucleotides long. RefSeq lists it as uncharacterized. The transcript is spliced from 2 exons. NCBI's taxonomy places the organism in Eukaryota, Viridiplantae, Streptophyta, Magnoliopsida, Caryophyllales, Amaranthaceae. The record is from RefSeq and is a predicted model, not a curated record.
GCUAACACUGAUGGUUAAUGAGUCAUUAUAAACUUAGAAAUGGGCAUUGGUGGUUGUACGGUCUGCUCUUGAUUCAUCACACAUCACUUUCAUAAUAUGUCAAAAGCAAUAGUUAGUUAUGAAAUACUACAAUUGUUUUACUAAUGAAGAUAACAUUGGCAAAGUAUUUUUUUUUUCCAACAAUUGAGGCAGCUCCUGCCUUUUCCAGUUCAUUCCCUCACCUAUUUGCUGGCCAAGAUAAUGUUCGGUGUUUGAUUCCUUGUGCAAUUGACCAGGUUGAUUCUUUUUAAUUUUUAUAAUUUUGAAUAAUCGUUUAUUAUGCUUUUACUGGUAUGCUUGUUAUGAUUGGUUGCUUACAUUGAUUUGCAUUGGGCCUCAAAUAUUGUAAUUUUUGUCUUGUUGAGCAUUGACGAAAAUUCCAGCAUGAUGUUAGAUUUAAGCUGAAUUUAUGAUCAGGUCAUGAUGGGUUUUAACUUUUUUUUUUGAAAGAUGAUGGGUUUGAACUUAGGGUUAGGACGUUUUCCUGAGUCCUGAAGGAUGUCAAGCCCAGGUCUUGAUUUGCUUAGUGUUCGAACAGGGACAAGGGCAUUGUACUGUUAAGACCUUGGUGUAGAGGUGCGAGGUCACUGGUAUACGUCUCUUAAAUCGGACUUUGCUUUUCUAGGCUCUAACAUUGCUUUACUUUUAUUAAGGUUUUCGUUCCAAUUCCUCUGUCAUCUGAAAUAAUACAAUUGUUGUACUGUGCUUUAUGAGUUUCCUUGAUUUAGUUCAAUUAUUUUCUAUUAUUUAGUUCUAUUAUUUUAUUCUAUUUUACGUGUAGGUGCAUGGCGAGCAAAAUGGAGAUGAAGUAGAGUGACUAAACGACUAGUCAUCUAACACAAGUGGUGCAAAUAUGUUGGCGACUUCUAUUCUAUUAAGUUCAAGUUUGUGAAGAUUUAGAAAAUCCGGCUUACAUAUAUGUUGGAAUUUGUAUUUUGGACAAUUAAAUCAAUUAUAUAACUUUAGUUUAUUAGUAGGGUGUAAUACCGAAAACAAGCAAGUAAUAUUUUUGUAAUGUACGUAUUUAUUAGCAUUAUACACUAGUAGAAAAAAAAGCAUUAGGCACCCCCCAUAUGGCACCGGUUCAGUCUAAACCGGUGCCCAAAACCGGUCUAGAAUUGGGCGGGUUUUUACCAAAAGAGAAAAGGCACCGGUUCAACAUGAACCGGUGCCAAAAAUAAAAAAGGCACCGGUUUGAACCGGUGCCCUUGUUAGAUUUUAAAAAAAAAAAAAACCGAUCAACUUAUCUAUAUUAUAAUUGUAUUCCUAACCCUAGAGAACUAACUCAGCUUCAUUCUCCUUAUUAUUAAUUAGCUGCCUCUCUCCUCCUUCUCUCUCCUCUCUUCUCUAUCAUCUUCCUUCUCGAUCUCUCCGACCACAACGUGCGAAACCUCAGAUCUCUUCUCUAUUGUCCUCCUUCUCUGUCUGAUCUCGCUCUCCUCUUCUUUCCCCCCUCUUCUCCGACCUUUCUUCUCCCUUCUGUCUUUUGCCCACCAUACCACCGCUACUAACCACCGCCGCCACCUGCAUGUUUCUGGGUUUAAUAUUUGAGGUGUUAAUUGAUGCACAACGAUUCAAGACUUUGAUUUUGGAAUAUUGUUUUUGAUGUUGUAUUUUUUAUUUGUAUUUUUCAAUAUCAAUUUAACGUUGAAUUUUAUUGUAUGAUUAUAAUUCAUUGUAUUUUUUUAUUUUUUUUUUGUAUUGUACAAUAACAGCUUAAUAUAUUGAUAUACUC